RNAcentral lists this signal recognition particle RNA (100 nucleotides) under Oceanobacillus picturae. RNAcentral's name for it is "Bacteria_small_SRP". It matches the Rfam family "Bacterial small signal recognition particle RNA". From Rfam's summary of the family: The signal recognition particle (SRP) is a universally conserved ribonucleoprotein involved in the co-translational targeting of proteins to membranes. Archaeal SRP consists of a 7S RNA and homologues of the eukaryotic SRP19 and SRP54 proteins. Lineage: Bacteria; Bacillati; Bacillota; Bacilli; Caryophanales; Bacillaceae. The record is from RNAcentral.
GUCCAGGUCCUGCGCAACAGAGACCCAUGAAUUCUGUCAGGUCCGGAAGGAAGCAGCAGUAAGUGGUUAUCUCCGUGUGCCGCGGGGAAGCCUGGACCGA